This 2511-nucleotide unclassified non-coding RNA is filed under the name Centruroides sculpturatus (bark scorpion). Its description in RNAcentral is "inactive dipeptidyl peptidase 10-like, transcript variant X3". The record is from RNAcentral. Lineage: Eukaryota; Metazoa; Arthropoda; Arachnida; Scorpiones; Buthidae.
AUUCAGAGUAGAGGCGCAAUCGCAGUGAAGGCAGCCAAUGAAAUAACGCUGCCCGCACUGUUCUCACAAGCUGUGAGAAUAAGUCAUUCCUUAUUUGAAGCGGUCCAAGUGUAUGGUUAGCAAAGAGCAAGAUAAGAAAACUAAAUAUCAAAGACUUCGCAUGGCUGAGCAGUCAGCUGCUUACGGUGAAGAAGAAUUGGUGUCUGAUGAAGCAGAAGAGAGGAACUGGAGAGGAAUUUGUAUUGCCCUUCUAGUUAUUGCCACAAUUUGUACUCUUAUAAUUACCGCUGUAAUCCUUCUAACACCAGGCGAAGAGGAACCGCGAGUGAAAAAUCCUAAAUUUAACUUAGAAGAAGUUUUAACUGGAGACUCUAUACCUAGAAGAUUUAAUGGUUCUUGGAUAUCAGAUAAAGAGGUUUUAUUUCAAGAUGGAGACGGUUUUCUCGUGUUAUAUAAUGCAGAUACGGACACGACAACAAUACUCAUGUCAAAUGCGACAUUCAAACAAUAUAAAGUGGAAAAAUACAGUCUUUCACCAGACAGAAAAUUUAUUUUAAUAGUUAAAGACAUUCAAAAGGUUUUUCGUUAUUCAUAUAAAGCUAAGUUUGGAAUAUAUAGUAUAAUAAAACAACGCGUUUUUUCAUUAAUACCCGAUGAUCCCGAGGCAGAAUUGCAAUACGCUGCUUGGGGAAGGCAAGGCAGCCAAAUGGUUUAUGUAAAAGACAAUAAUGUUUAUUAUUCUCCACUAUUCACCAAACGUGGUGAACCGAGAGUAUUAUCUCAGACUGGAAUGGAUGGUGUAAUAUAUAAUGGAAUACCCGAUUGGUUAUAUGAAGAAGAGAUAUUAAAAAGCAAUAAUGCAAUUUGGUGGUCGGACGACGGUACCCGCUUGAGUUUUGCAUCAUUUGACGAUUCUAUGGUCGAUGUUAUGCAAUAUUCUUGGUACGGAUCCUAUAAAGACUCGUCGAACAUUUAUCCACAAACGAUGGAUCUCAGGUAUCCCAAGCCCGGAAGACCAAAUCCCAUAGUAACUUUAUGGGUUGUGGAUUUAGCCGAGUCCAGUCCAACUCCUAAACUUGUCCAGCCACCGAAAGAAUACAGGGACCAAGAUCGUUACCUAACUUCUGUUCGUUGGCUAGACAAUAAGAAACUGUCCGUUAUUUGGUUGAAACGUUCACAAAAUACGUCCAUUGUAACACUUUGCAGUGCUGUUAAUGGAUGGUUGUGUGAAAAGAAUCUUCAAGAGGACAGCUACGGAUAUGGAUGGGUAGAGAUGUACGAACCUCCACUAUUUACUAUGGAUAAACACCACUAUUUCCUUCGUCUCCCAGUAGCAGAUGGAAAGGCUGGACACUACCGCCAUCUUGCUAUGAUAGAUGUGGAUACAGGCAGGAAGGACUAUCUGACCCAUGGCCGGUAUGACGUCACUCAAAUAUUAUCUCAUCAUCCGGAGAACAGGACAGUGUUCUACAUCGCUACCGUCCGAGGUAAACCGGGAGAGAGGCAUCUUUUUUCUGUCACCGAUGUUACCUCUCAGCUGCCACGUUUAACGACAUGUUACACAUGCGAAAUGGGAGAAGGUUGUUUAUACAAUAAUGCUAUUUUUAGUCCCGAUUCUAAAUAUUACAUUUUAGAAUGCUUGGGCCCCAAAGUACCGAGAAUUGAACUGAGAAGUUCCAGUAACAAUAACUUAAUUAAGGUUUUUGAUGAAAACACUAACGUUCAAGAACUCAUAGAUUCGAGAGCUUUCCCUCAAGUUAGGACGUUUCAUAUUCCAAUUAAAAACGGAUUCAAAGCUAACGUUAGAAUGCUUCUACCUCCCGGAUUGAGAGAUGAAGAAAUUCUUAAAUAUCCGGUGGUCGUGAAGGCCGAUGGUAGUCCUGGCGGUCAGUCCGUAUCUGAACAAUUUGAAUUACAUUGGGGAUCGUACUUAGCUAGUAAGAAGGAUUACGUAUACGUGACGAUCGAUGGAAGAGGAAGCGGUUUUCAAGGAGAUAAAAGAUUGCACGAAGUGUAUCGUCAACUAGGAAAUUUAGAAAUGGAAGAUUAUAUAUCUGUUAUGAGUUACUUGAAACAUAAUUUACCCUUUAUCGACGGAGACAGAAUGUGUAUUUGGGGUUGGUCUUAUGGAGGUUAUGCUGCGGCAAUGGUUUUAGCGAGAGAUAACGAACUUUUUCAAUGUGGAAUCUCAGUAGCACCUAUCACAAGUUGGUUUUAUUAUGAUUCUUUUUACACCGAGAGGUAUAUGCAGUCUCCGAAACCAGAAGAUAAUUAUUUGGGUUACGAAAAAGGUGACUUAAUAAGAAAAGCGGCAGAUUUCAGGAAAAAAAAAUACUUAAUAAUUCAUGGAACAGCUGACGGUUAGUUUUUUAUGGAUAAAAUUCACCUUCAACAUUCCAUGAUGAUGAUAAAGAGCCUUAUUGAAUCGAAUGUCCUUUUUCGAACUCAGAUGUAUCCCGACGAGACGAACAAUUUAGAAAAUGUUCAAAUUCAUUUAUAUCGAACUAUGGA